This 1934-nucleotide long non-coding RNA is filed under the name Cairina moschata (Muscovy duck). Its description in RNAcentral is "domestica (muscovy Duck (domestic type)) lncRNA (ENSCMMG00000013697.1)". Lineage: Eukaryota; Metazoa; Chordata; Aves; Anseriformes; Anatidae. The record is from RNAcentral.
AUGAUCAAAGCCCUCCGGACCCUGGAGACGCUUCCCCGCGGGGCUCAGCACAGAACCAUCCCACACGGGUCAUGGAAUAGAAUCAUUAAGGUUGGAAAAGACCAACCGGGACCACCCCGCGGCAGCUCCUCGAAGCCGGGAGGCCAGGCCCGGCCGCCGCCCGGGGUCCUCCUCCCCGCCGCGCUGGGAGCAGCGCCCGGCCCGGCCCCGCCCCGAGGCCGCCGCCUCCUUCAUCGCGCCCGGGGCCAGGCAGAGCCCGGACGCCUCUCGGGUCUCCGCGGAGACCGGGACGGCGCCGCCCCGGGGGAAAGAGAAAGAGAAAGAGAAAAAGAGGGGGCCGGGGGAGGUGGAGGCACAGAAGCAAGGUUCACUGGUCUGUAUUUCCCAGGGGCUUCCUUUCUACUGUUUUAAAGCAGGUGAGCUGUUUCGCUUUUUCUACUCACUGUGGACUUCGCCUAACUGCCAUGACUGUUUCACAUGUUGUUCCACACUAUCAUAGAUUUGGGAAUACAUGUAAUAUGCAAAGAAAGACGUGAAAAUAAAUUUCUGCCUGUAGCAGGACCUUUUGACAGCUCUUGCUGCCAUGUAAGGCAGUUGGAUUCUUUCCCACAUAGAGCUUCUCUGUCAUUCGUAACAGUACAUUGAUGGAUGCCUUCUAGAGAGAUUAAAAUGUAUUUUUUUGACUGAUCUAACCAGGGAAAGUCUGGUCAUUAUCUGAAGGUUUCUGAGAAAACCGUGAGUCCUCAGGCCCCAAGGUUUUAGUAGCAUUAUGUAGCAAGUAGAAGCAAAGACAGUCAACAGUACAAGAGCAUUCAGAAUAAGCCUAGAUAACUGGAAACUCAGAAACCUAAGUGAAUGUUAGUACAUCAGUUGUCAAACAAAUUUUACCUAGGUCAUCAUUUGAAAAUCUCUUUUUAAAAUGAACAAAACAGAAGAAACCACACCUGUAUCAGAAGGAUAAUUCCAGCUCCAGUUAAAAGUCUUUCUCCCAGAUGUAGACAUUGUAUUGAGCAUUACCUCAAGGCAGCAAUUCAGAGCUGUGGCAGAUGAAGAUGCAUUCUUAAUUCCUUGGACAAAUGUGUCAUUUGUCUUGCUACUUUAUCACUCCGCUAAUUUUUCAUUGAACAGAAAUAGGAUCAAGCUAGGAUGUACCAUCCAAUAACUACUUUGUCAAUUGCUCAUACGUUGUUGUUUUUUUGUUUUGUUUCUGAUCAUUAACAAAACUUUGGAAAAGUUGAGUGCAGAAAAGUUUCUCUGUGCAACAAAGAAUUCACCUGCUUUUGCAUACUUGUUGACAAGGUCCUUUAGAAACACAGUAUUAUGAGACAAGAAAACUAACACUGUUUACUAAAUUUUUAUUCUGUAUUGUAACACCAGCUUCUAAAUUAUUCUAGAACCUUCCCAUGCAAAGUUUUUGGGGAUAAAUUUGCUUUCUGUCUCAUAGAUCUAGACAAAUUCGUAUUUUCUGAAAUAGGUACAGCUGAGGACAAUGCUUUACAGACUAGUGUAGGAACAGAAAAUCUCUGUAGCAGAUGGUAAGGCUAUAGCCAUGUAGACAUAGCUCUGACUUUUGCUUAUUUUACAACUCUUUUGUGACCACUGCAACAGAUUCUAACAUCCAUCCUCUAGCAGCUGAGUUGCCGUGUUAAGACUUCGGAAGCAAUUAUUUAAAAUGAAAGAUCUCUCAGGGAAUUUUAAAAUCUUAAUUCAUAGCCAUCUUCUCACUAAGAGGAUAAAACACAGCUAGGGUGUUAUCAUGUACUGUUUGUUUUUCCAAGUCAAACAUGAGUAAAGGAAGGUCUUGUAAGCUUCCUGCUCACCUCUAGGAGAAAUAUGGGAGGAGUACGGAUGGAGUGAUGUGAUGCUGAGGUUCCCUGCAACUUAUUUGAAUAUGUACACUCAGAAUUUACUUUUGGCUAUGCAUAUAAAAUAUU